This 1311-nucleotide unclassified non-coding RNA is filed under the name Zea mays. Its description in RNAcentral is "misc RNA Zm00001eb422650". Lineage: Eukaryota; Viridiplantae; Streptophyta; Magnoliopsida; Poales; Poaceae. The record is from RNAcentral.
CGUGACACAACCCAACCCAACGAUAAAAAGCCCAGCGCUGCUCCGUUCCAGCUCCCGCGCCUACUCCACUGACUCCAGCGCUCUGUCCGACGGCCGCAGCGAUGCCCAACCCCGCCGCAUCCCCGGUACCGGUGCCCGGCGCCGCCACUCGCCGCCGGCGGAGGAAUAUCCUCCCGUCGUCGUCGUCGUCGUCUUCUUCGUCGUCCUCCUCCUCCUCCUUCUCUGCCACGGCGAUCCGCACGUCCGCCUCCGGCGCCUCCUCCUCGUCCUCCUCCGCCCCGCCCUUCUCGCCGGCGCCCUCGCCGUUCCACCACCGCUUCCUCUCCCCGCUGCGCGCCUCCGCGGUGCCCUUCUCCUGGGAGCACCGCCCGGGCAUCCCCAAGACGCCCGCGCGGCGCGCCAGCGGCAGCAAGGCCAAGACGCCGGCGGCGCUGCCCCUCCCGCCCUCCCUCCUCUCCAGCAAGGUCAGCGCCGUCGACGGGACCUUCUCCUCCGCCGACGGCUACCUCGUCGUCCCGCCCGACGCCAAGGCGAGGCGGCGGCGCAGGCGGCCGCCGGCGCUGGCCGCCUCUCUCACCGACUGGCUCGCCGUGCUCAGCCUCUACCGGUCGUGCACGCGGUCCCGCGACUGCCUCGCCCGCACGCCGCCGCUGCGCCCCCGCGCUCCGGCGCCGGCGAAGGCCCGUCUCGUCGAUCGGCUCACCACUCACCAGUGAGCCAGGUCCGCGCGUGUCCGGUGCUCCCGGUCCUUCGCCGGGUGUUGCGGUUGCGGAUUGAGAAUGUGAGUAGGAUUAAUCACGCCUGGCUAGCUUUGACACUGUAAUUAAGGUGGUUUCCCCCGCCCCAUGUUUGUUCCAGCCAAUAAUAAUUGGUUCAUCCGGACUUGAUGCCGCUGAUGAUAGCCUGCUAGUGAUGCGUUUGCAUGCCGGUGAGGUGAGUAAGCUUGUCUCACCGUUAAUUAGGUUGUAAGCUUGUUCGCUGAUUGGUGAGUAAGACACAGUUAGUGUCAAUUAUGAAAAAGACCACUUGCGACAAGAUGGAUAUGCAUAUGCUGUACUAUAGUUAUGUUUGGUUGAGCUUUUUCCGAAAAGUUGGUUACGGAGAGAAUCUGACUAUCUUCGAGUGGAGGAAGAUAAACUAGUUAAUGCCUCUGUUUGUUUCAGCUUUUUGGAGCUUCUGGCCACCAAAAGCUGCUGCGGACUGCCAAACGCUCAGCUUUUCAGUCAGUUUCUAUAAAAUUCGUUUGGGUAAAAACCAUUCAAAAUAAACAUAAACACAUAAUCAGUUGAGUCGUUGCAAUAGUAGGAUUCC